This 221-nucleotide long non-coding RNA is filed under the name Elaeis guineensis (African oil palm). RNAcentral's name for it is "long non-coding RNA (EGUI_LNC000599)". The record is from RNAcentral. Lineage: Eukaryota; Viridiplantae; Streptophyta; Magnoliopsida; Arecales; Arecaceae.
GUCCGUGGAUAGAUAAUACAAGUAGUUAGCCCAAGAAACCACAAGUGUUCAACUCUGAACUACCACAACUCUGUUUCAAGCCCAUGGAUAGGCGGCACUAAAAUAAAGUGACUAGUUCAAAGGACCACAAGUGCUCGAUCCUAAACUACUACAACCAUGUAUCAAGUCCAUGGGUAGGCAGUAGUAAAAUAGCUAGUCCAGAGCACUGUAACCCCACAUAU